RNAcentral lists this transfer RNA (74 nucleotides) under Fidelibacterota bacterium. Its description in RNAcentral is "tRNA-Arg". It matches the Rfam family "tRNA". Rfam says of the family: Transfer RNA (tRNA) molecules are approximately 80 nucleotides in length. Their secondary structure includes four short double-helical elements and three loops (D, anti-codon, and T loops). Lineage: Bacteria; Pseudomonadati; Fidelibacterota. The record is from RNAcentral.
GCGCCCGUGGCUCAAAUGGAUAGGGCACUAGAUUUCGGCUCUAGCGAUUGCAGGUUCGAGUCCUGCCGGGCGUA